CCCGCUGAACUUAAGCAUAUCAAUAAGCGGAGGAAAAGAAACUAACAAGGAUUCCCUUAGUAACGGCGAGUGAAGAGGGAAGAGCUCAAAUUUUGAAUCUGACAUCUUCGAUGUCAGAGUUGUAAUCUAGAGAAGUGUUUUCCGUGAUGGACCAUGCAUAAGUCUCCUGGAAUGGAGUGUCAUAGAGGGUGAGAAUCCCGUUUAUGGCAUGGACUCCCAUUGCUCUGUGAUACACUCUCAACGAGUCGAGUUGUUUGGGAAUGCAGCUCCAAAUGGGUGGUAAAUGCCAUCUAAAGCUAAAUACUGGCGAGAGACCGAUAGCAAACAAGUACCGUGAGGGAAAGAUGAAAAGCACUUUGAAAAGAGAGUGAAACAGUACGUGAAAUUGUUGAAAGGGAAACGCUUGAAGUCAGUCACACCGUUCAGGAUUCAGCCUUGCUUCUGCUUGGUUUACUUCCUGUUGGGUGGGUCAACAUCAGUUUCCAUCAGAGGAAAAAGGCUUCGGGAAGGUGGCAGCAUUCGUGCUGUGUUAUAGCCCUUUGCUGUAUACUUUGAUAGAGACUGAGGACUGCAGCACGCCUUCUGGCUGGGGUUCGCCCACAUACGUGCUUAGGAUGUUGGCAUAAUGGCUCUAAGCGACCCGUCUUGAAACACGG
This 656-nucleotide ribosomal RNA is filed under the name uncultured fungus. RNAcentral describes it as "eukaryotic LSU rRNA". It matches the Rfam family "Eukaryotic large subunit ribosomal RNA", at positions 24 to 664 of the family's 3401-position model. Lineage: Eukaryota; Fungi. The record is from RNAcentral.